UUGUUCAGAGAUUCAUAUUUCUAAUUACAUUUCUUCGCAAAAAGUCAUUAGUUAAAGGACCAAGAAACACUGAACACUUGUUCUACCGAAAUUUCGAUUCCCGAGAGAGAUUGCGUGGGCAAUGGCCUCCACGACCAAGGACGUUAGUAGGUGCGUAAAUUACCCACUCUCCAUAUGGAGAGAUAGUGAUAAAAAAUUCGAAUAAAGAAGUCAUUUGAGGUUCCCUACUUCAAAUUAUUACAAUUUAAAUCUUUCAAAGAAGACCAACCGAAGGAUAAUUCUUGUGUGGCAAAAGCUAUGCUGACUCCAGCUACAAA
RNAcentral lists this non-coding RNA (317 nucleotides) under Trichobilharzia regenti. RNAcentral describes it as "Eukaryotic small subunit ribosomal RNA". It matches the Rfam family "Eukaryotic small subunit ribosomal RNA", at positions 191 to 594 of the family's 1831-position model. Lineage: Eukaryota; Metazoa; Platyhelminthes; Trematoda; Strigeidida; Schistosomatidae. The record is from Rfam by way of RNAcentral.